This 253-nucleotide ribosomal RNA is filed under the name uncultured bacterium. Its description in RNAcentral is "partial 16S ribosomal RNA". It matches the Rfam family "Bacterial small subunit ribosomal RNA", at positions 524 to 776 of the family's 1533-position model. The record is from RNAcentral.
UACGGGGGGGGCAAGCGUUGUUCGGAAUUACUGGGCGUAAAGGGCUCGUAGGCGGCCAACUAAGUCGGACGUGAAAUCCCCAGGCUCAACCUGGGAACUGCGUCCGAUACUGGAUGGCUUGAAUCCGGGAGAGGGAUGCAGAAUUCCAGGUGUAGCGGUGAAAUGCGUAGAUAUCUGGAGGAAUACCGGUGGCGAAGGCGGGUCUCUGGGCCGAUACUGACGCUGAGGAGCGAAAGCGUGGGGAGCGAACAGG